AACGCGUGCACCUCCAUAAAUGUGUUAACUUACGGUGAUCUCAAUACCCUCGUCGGCCAAGAUGAGAGCAGAGUAACUUGUAGCAAGUUCGGAGGCAGACAUUUUGGUGUUGGUAAAGAUAUCUUAUUGAUUUGUUGUGCCUAUUGCUGUGUAAAGUAGUGUGACUGUUUUAUUUGCCCAAACCCUAACCUACUAUAAAUUAUA
Schizosaccharomyces pombe (fission yeast) is the source of this 204-nucleotide non-coding RNA. The record is from the annotation of a GenBank genome assembly. Lineage: Eukaryota; Fungi; Ascomycota; Schizosaccharomycetes; Schizosaccharomycetales; Schizosaccharomycetaceae.